UCAGACAGACAGUUUGAGCGUUACAUUACGUUACGAUUACAGAUUGUUUGUAACUGUCCAUUUCAAAACAAACAAAUUGCUGUGCUACCAAACAAACUGACGUUAACUAGUUGUACGUUUAAUUUUAGCUGCUCAUAUUAUAAUAUAUUUAUUGUCAUUGUAGUAUUUAAUACAGGAUGGAAGAAAUUAAGUUUUCUUCUUACGAAGCUCUUCGAAAGUUCAUCAGGAAUAAAGAAAAGAAAGAAUUUAUACAAUUAUGGAUAUCAAGUUCACGAACAAUUAAUGCUGCUAGAAAGAAAAACAUUAUAAGACCAAUGAAAGAGUGUUUGAAGUACUACGAAAUUGAUUUUAAAUGUAUUUAUUGCAAACGAGAAAGAAAGAGCUUAUCUACUGGAAUACGCCCAGGUCGCAGAACCGUUAGGCAAGAUUGUCCAUUUAAAAUGAAAUUCCGGAUUUCUAUAGAUGGCUGCUAUCUUGAAACAUAUGACUUCAAUGAUUCUCACAAUCACGACCAUUCAAAAGAAAUGUAUGAAUUUCUACCUCGGCAAAGAAAACUUAAACAUAUUUUACAAGCAAGAAAUAUGAAUGAAAUAAAUGUUAUUCAUGAGGAACUUGUACCUGAAAUAUUGAAGACAUCAUCUGAUUUAGAAAACAGUAGACUGGUGGAAUCCAACUAUCAACAGAUACCUAGUAUGAUAGACUCAGUAAAUGUAAUAUCACAACAAGAAAGGUAUGAAAUUGCAUUAUCAAAAACUCAAAGGCUGGCAAACCUACUAUCAGAGGCACCAUCAGAAACUUUCUUUCAGCGUCUAGUGAACUUGGAAACAUUAAUAUACAAUUGGGAGAAUAAUGAAGAAGUGAGUGUUAUUUCACUUAACUCAAAGAAUAAUUGUUCCCAAGAUUUCAUUGAAAUAGAUAAUAAUUAUGUUUUAAUUACAGUAAACGAAUCUGUUGUAUCUGAAUUACAACCUUUUUUUCAAACAAAAUUGAGUUCAGGUUCAGUAGAAAACUACAAAGAAGUGCCAACCUUGCUAGAAGACCAUAAUUAUUUUCAGUUAACCAGUAAAUAAGAAACCAAAAUAAAAUUUUUACAAGAAUCAAAAGCGGUGCAAAAUAUAUUUGAAACAGUGACUAUGAUACAAAUAUUGAAUACGUCUAUAUUCACUAAAAAGCAAAGACGAUAAAGAUAAAACCGUUUUAAAUUUCUUUAGUUAAUAAAUAAUUUUAUGUGCAGUGUUGGAUGAUAAAACAGUAUACCCAGAUGAAUUCAGACAUAAUCUCAAAUGCUGCCUGCCUUUAUACUCAUAAAAACAGAGUAUAUGUAGAAUGAAUCAAGAUUAAUUGUAUUGAGUAUGAAUAGACUUCUGUUCAAGACAGUAAUCCGACAAUUUUCUGCUAUAAUGUUAAAUGGAAGCUAACAUCAGUCAUAGUAUUUUAAUAGUCUUCAGUUCGCUGUCCAUUUUUCAUUUAAAUUCAUUUCAAAUUUUUCUGACUGCACAAAUGUGAAAGAAUAUUUUGUUCUGCAGAUCAAUGAGAUUAAAUUGACUUCAGCCAUCACGCCAAUGCCUAUGUACAUGCUUUAUCUAUGCAUUCCAAAACUGGUAGUUAUCAAGCAUGGUCCAGAGAUGAACUAUGCUGUAUCUUGAAUAAGAAAGACCAAUGAAUUGAAUGAAGACCAGUUUAAAGUUAUACUUAUCAGUUAUAGCAUUGUGGUUUUUUAAAAUCCAGACCUAAAUUAUAACUUUUAAUGGUUUAUGUGAAGGAAUAAUGUUUUGAAAUAUUAAAAUUUGGCUUUAAUGUGUA
Molecule: RNA transcript, 1803 nt
Organism: Homalodisca vitripennis (glassy-winged sharpshooter)
Lineage: Eukaryota; Metazoa; Arthropoda; Insecta; Hemiptera; Cicadellidae
Exons: 4
Source: RefSeq, a predicted model, not a curated record